UACGUAGGCAGCGAGCGUUGUUCGGAAUUACUGGGCGUAAAGAGUGUGUAGGCGGUGCUCUAAGUUCGGUGUGAAAUCUCCUGGCUCAACUGGGAGGGUGCGCCGGAAACUGGAGUGCUUGAGCGUGGGAGAGGAAAGCGGAAUUCCUGGUGUAGCGGUGAGAUGCGUAGAUAUCAGGAGGUACACCUGUGGUGUAGACGGCCUUCUGGACCAUAGCUGACGCUGAGACACGAAAGCGUGGGUAGCAAACAGG
RNAcentral lists this ribosomal RNA (253 nucleotides) under uncultured bacterium. Its description in RNAcentral is "partial 16S ribosomal RNA". It matches the Rfam family "Bacterial small subunit ribosomal RNA", at positions 524 to 776 of the family's 1533-position model. The record is from RNAcentral.